AGAAGCAUAAUACACAGAAAGAGGCGUCUCGUGUCACCAACGGUGGUCUCUACGACCAAGCACGACACACACACACACACACGAGGAACGCGUACACAUCCUUUAUGGUGAGCGAGGCUCUGCCAUUUGCAUGUUUUCACCCCCUCGCAACCUGCACGGUCGACUUGCUUGCAGGUCUUUCCUCAACGCCACCCCGCGCAAGACCUGGCAUCCCUAUGCAAGGCACCUCCGCCGCCAGCCCCCCCCCUUCAAUAUCAGCUGCUCGGAUGCCACCCAUUGAUGACGGGGAACACCUCACUGUUGCACCUCAGGGUUCAUUACCCAACUCCGUGGAGUCCCCAAGCGGCCUCUCCACCCCUCCUAUUCCUGUCAAAUGCCGAAACACCUCUGGCGGUGACAAGGUCAAGCACCUACAACCUAAAGGAGGGGGGAGGCCAGUGCAAUUCAUUGCUGCUGAUGUGGCCGGCCAGGUCCUGGACGGCGAUACGUCAGAGCGACCUGCGACCGUGCACACGCUUGUGCCAUCGAUGGGACAGGUAAAGUGUCAGCCUGACUCGAACGCAUCUCACCCGGCCCUCGCACUGCCUGCCGAUGUGGGGAGCCUACGUGUUUUCACUCCAAGGGAUGCCCCAGACGGGGACCGGCACAAUGGGUGGCGCGGCUGUGCGGCGACCUGCAGAGCGGAUGCUGAGUAGAGAGUGUGAGGCAGGUGCCGUGCUCCGAUGAUUGAGUCGGCGCAUUGCUGUAGCGCGCGUCUACCGCCGCUUCGCGCCACGCGAUGUGGUGGCUGUAACAGGCCGGUAGUAGAGUGGGGUUCGACCUCACGUUGUGUGUGGCAGAGAAGCAGGAACGUUGAAAACAGAGGCAAUGCGCGUGUGCGCCGCCUCACGCUCCCUUUCUUCACCGCCAUCGAUUUGCCCCCUCCCUCCCCGUGUGCCCUCUGCCCCGUUAAUCUUGCAUUCCGCUUUCUCUAUUCCGUGCACCGUGCACAAAA
Molecule: unclassified non-coding RNA, 994 nt
Filed under: Leishmania donovani
Lineage: Eukaryota; Euglenozoa; Kinetoplastea; Trypanosomatida; Trypanosomatidae
Description: gene:unknown
Source: RNAcentral